Molecule: long non-coding RNA, 1164 nt
Organism: Pantherophis guttatus
Lineage: Eukaryota; Metazoa; Chordata; Lepidosauria; Squamata; Colubridae
Source: RefSeq, a predicted model, not a curated record
CUUUCUCAUUCUCAUCCCGGCUUGUUCGACCCAGUUGCAAUUCUCGCAGCUGCGGUGUGGUCCGAUACGGUCGAACAGCUGGGAAAGUGUCGGCGAGAGAGGCAACCGCAGCCCUCGCCGCUACUACUGUGGGUAGCAUUAGGAAACGCUUUCGGGGAAAAGCUGUCAAUCUGAAAUUCAUGAUUUUGGGCAACUAGCAAUUAAAAAUAGCAUAAGAACAUAAAGCAAGAAAGAAAGAACAGUAUGCACUUAAUCUGCACCCAAGAAAAGAGACUUGUUAAAGCCUUGAAGAACUCUGUGCAAUGGGACAAAGAAGAAAUGGAGAGAAAUCAAAUCCUACCGCAAUAUUUGACUGAACUACAGAUUAAGAAGUAAAAGGAAGGAAUAUAAAAUUGGUUGAUCAAGUUUAAGCAAGAUAUGUUGUUACUUUUGAUAACCUUUUAUGGACUUUCUACUAACACGACUGAAAAGAUGCUUUAUGGAUUUGUCCAUAAGAGAUGGGAUAUGUUUCCAUCAAUUGUUCCAUCAAUUAGAGGGGGUGAAGAAUCACUGUUUAUAUUUGUUGUGAUGAAGGUUGGAAGUCACUUCAAUAUAUUCUUUCUUUUCUUUUUUCUUGUACUUUUUACUCUUUUCUAUUAUUUUUUCUUGCAGAUUCAGUAUUAGAUUUUACUAUUAUAAUCAACAUUAGUUUGUAUAUAGAUAUAGAAAUAUAUAAAAGUAGAGCAAUCCUAUGAACCUAUGGGGUAUAUGUUGCAAAAAAUAAAUAUUAAUUCCUACUCUUACUUAAAUAGAUUAUUAAGAAGUAUAGAAAGACGAGACCCUUGUCAGUUCUACAUAGUCGACCUGAACUAAGUAACAUAGAACAGGACUACUUUUAUUGAAACUGCUAUAGUAACAGAAUCUUAUAAGUCUGAAUGUGCUCCCCCCUCCCUUACUUUAUAUUUGUGUGAAUUAAAAAGAGGCUUGUCUGAGACAUUUUCUCAAAUUACUUUCUUGACCUAGGCCCCCCUUAUUUGAUCAUUGCCUUGGUAGAAGCUCUUCCUCCGGUCUUUAAGGGCCAUUCCCUAUAACUCUAUACUCCUUUUUUUUUUUUAAUCUAACCUGCAGUUUGUGAUGAUUUUAUGAUCGUAGGUAGGUGGUCUUAGAAAUCAGUCAUAAAACAAA